RNAcentral lists this ribosomal RNA (492 nucleotides) under uncultured soil bacterium. Its description in RNAcentral is "bacterial SSU rRNA". It matches the Rfam family "Bacterial small subunit ribosomal RNA", at positions 35 to 572 of the family's 1533-position model. The record is from RNAcentral.
GCUGGCGGAGGCUUAACACAUGCAAGUCGAACGCGUGUAGCAAUACACGAGUGGCGCACGGGUGAGUAACGCGUGGAUAUCUGCCUUUUGGUUCGGAAUAACCCCGGGAAACUGGGGCUAAUACCGGAUGGUUCCUACGGGAUAAAGAUUUAUCGCCAAAAGAUGAGUCCGCGUACGAUUAGCUAGUUGGUGAGGUAAUGGCUCACCAAGGCGACGAUCGUUAGCUGGUCUGAGAGGACGAUCAGCCACACUGGGACUGAGACACGGCCCAGACUCCUACGGGAGGCAGCAGUGGGGAAUAUUGGACAAUGGGGGCAACCCUGAUCCAGCCAUGCCGCGUGAGUGAUGAAGGCCUUCGGGUUGUAAAGCUCUUUUGGCGGGGACGAUGAUGACGGUACCCGCAGAAUAAGCCCCGGCUAACUUCGUGCCAGCAGCCGCGGUAAGACGAAGGGGGCUAGCGCUGUUCGGAAUUACUGGGCGUAAAGCGCGUGU